RNAcentral lists this ribosomal RNA (824 nucleotides) under Vulpicida viridis. Its description in RNAcentral is "partial small subunit ribosomal RNA". It matches the Rfam family "Bacterial small subunit ribosomal RNA", at positions 360 to 1152 of the family's 1533-position model. The record is from RNAcentral. Lineage: Eukaryota; Fungi; Ascomycota; Lecanoromycetes; Lecanorales; Parmeliaceae.
AAUGUAUAGCAAUAGCUACUUGCAUCAUUGUAAAUAUGAUGCAAGAUCGACUAUGUCGAAUAAAAUUCUAGGUAGAAUUAUGAUAAUGACAUUGUCUGCCUAUGUGUCUUGACCAAAUUACGUGCCAGCAGUCGCGGUAAUACGUAGAAGACUAGUGUUAUUCAUGUUUAAUCGGUUUAAAGGGUACCUAGACGGUAAAUCAAGCCUAAAAAGAAAGAAAUAAAGGGACUAAUUUACUAGAGUUACUUAUGAGGGGGUAUUAAAGUACUGCUGGUGUAGAGAUGAAAUUCUGUCAUACCUCUUUUCAAUAGAAAAAUAACGGCACAGGUAUAGGCGAAGGCAUCCCCUUAUGUGAUAACUGACGUUGAGGGACGAAGGCUUUGUGUAGCGAACAGGAUUAGAUACCCCAGUAGUCAAAGCAGAAAAUGAUGAAUGUCAUAGAUUAGAUGUAUAAGUUUAUUCUAUAAAUGAAAGUGUAAGCAUUCCACCUCAAGAGUAAUUUGGCAACAUUGGAACUGAAAUCAUUAGACCGUUUCUGAAACCAGUAGUGAAGUAUGUUGUUUAAUUUGAUGAUCCGCAAAAAACCUUACCACAAUUUGAAUAUUUAUAUUUUUAUUUAUUGUUUUUUUUUUAAUUUUCUUCUGAUUUUCUGCUUGAGGAAAAAAGAAGAAAAGUAAAAAAAGGCAAUAAGAUAUAUUUACAAGCGUUGCACGGCUGUCUUCAGUUAAUGUCGUGAGACUAUGGUUAGUUCCAUUAAAUUAACGUAAACCCUUACUUUAUUUUUAUAUAGAGUAGUUCCCCGCUAUAUUGGAUAUGAUAACAGG